UAAUAUAAGAACGUUUUUGAC
RNAcentral lists this microRNA (21 nucleotides) under Triticum aestivum (bread wheat). Its description in RNAcentral is "tae-miR1120c-5p". Lineage: Eukaryota; Viridiplantae; Streptophyta; Magnoliopsida; Poales; Poaceae. The record is from miRBase by way of RNAcentral.